UUUCCACGACAUCUGAAAAGACUACAUAUGUCGAAAUGUGGUGGUUGAAAGCCUUAGAAAUAUGAAAAGGUGGAUGAUGAGUUAAUAUAUCAAACUGUCAGUCCUGGAAAAAAUAUUUUUUUUAAGUUAGAGGUAGUGAUGCUUCUUUUUUUUCCCCCAAACUAUAUUAAACCAUGUGUCUUUGUCUGUGUUCAUUGGUGCAGUCGACUAUGAGGUCAAGUACCUGGAGCUUGAAAUACUUGGUAAAGGAAGCUUUGGCUCAGUUUAUGCCGGCCAUAGGAGGUCUGAUGAUUUACUAGUGGCGAUAAAACACAUCCCCUAAUCGUCUGUUCCGCCUCAAAGAGUGAUGUUAAAUGGGAGGCCACACAGUAUUCCCAAGGAGGUGCUGCUCAUGCAGAAAGCUGCAGGCGAACCAAUGACUGUGGGUUAAUGGACUGGUACGAUCUGGACCAAGUGUUUAUACUGGUCAUGGAGAGGUCUAUGGAACUGCUGUGCUUCAUAAAGGAGAACUGUGGUCCGAUGGCCGAGGCUGUUGCAAAGGUACUGUUGUUUUAUUCUUUGUGUGAGCUGUUUCUCAGACUACAA
Long non-coding RNA from Platichthys flesus (European flounder), 585 nucleotides. RefSeq lists it as uncharacterized. NCBI's taxonomy places the organism in Eukaryota, Metazoa, Chordata, Actinopteri, Pleuronectiformes, Pleuronectidae. The transcript has 3 exons. The record is from RefSeq and is a predicted model, not a curated record.